Molecule: long non-coding RNA, 195 nt
Organism: Eucalyptus grandis
Lineage: Eukaryota; Viridiplantae; Streptophyta; Magnoliopsida; Myrtales; Myrtaceae
Exons: 3
Source: RefSeq, a predicted model, not a curated record
UUGAAGUUGUUAGCGACCAGACCGUAAAUUUUCAAAAUAUGUUUGGCCAUGUGAAUUAUGAAGACCCUCACUUCAAUGUUGGCUUGCCAGUCUUCAGCAUUCAUGGAAAUCAUGAUGAUCCUGCUGGAGUGAACAAAAUUGCUAGGGAUUCCGACACCUUGAAAUGCGAGGAGGAGGAUCUAAUUCUUAAAGUCG